Molecule: unclassified non-coding RNA, 400 nt
Filed under: soil metagenome
Description: partial contains 5.8S ribosomal RNA, internal transcribed spacer 2, and large subunit ribosomal RNA
Rfam family: 5.8S ribosomal RNA (bases 1-122)
Source: RNAcentral
GAUGAAGAACGUAGCGAAACGCGAUAGGUAAUGUGAAUUGCAGAAUUCCGUGAACCAUCGAGUCUUUGAACGCAAGUUGCGCCUCAAGCCAUUAGGUUGAGGGCACGUCUGCCUGGGCGUCACAUAUCGUUGCCUGAUGCCAGUUUCCUCGUGAUGGGUGACUGUGCAGGGCGAAUGAUGGCUUCCCGUGAGCAUUGUUGCCUCAUGGUUGGUUGAAAAUUGAGUCCUUGGUAGGGAGCGCCGUGAUAGAUGGUGGUUGAGUGACGAACGAGACCCAAUCAUGUGAGACCCCUACCGAAUUUGGCCUUCAUGACCCACAUGCGUCUUUGGAACGCUCAUGACGAGACCUCAGGUCAGGCGGGGCUACCCGCUGAGUUUAAGCAUAUCAAUAAGCGGAGGA